Molecule: unclassified non-coding RNA, 349 nt
Filed under: soil metagenome
Description: partial contains 5.8S ribosomal RNA, internal transcribed spacer 2, and large subunit ribosomal RNA
Rfam family: 5.8S ribosomal RNA (bases 1-120)
Source: RNAcentral
GAUGAAGAACGCAGUGAAAUGCGAUAACUAGUGUGAAUUGCAGAAUUCCGUGAAUCAUCGAGUCUUUGAACGCACAUUGCGCCCCCUGGUAUUCCGGGGGGCAUGCCUGUCCGAGCGUCAUUGCUGCCCAUCAAGCACGGCUUGUGUGUUGGGUCGUCGUCCCCUCUCCGGGGGGGACGGGCCCCAAAGGCAGCGGCGGCACCGCGUCCGAUCCUCGAGCGUAUGGGGCUUUGUCACCCGCUCUGUAGGCCCGGCCGGCGCUUGCCGAACACAAAUCAAUCUUUUUCCAGGUUGACCUCGGAUCAGGUAGGGAUACCCGCUGAACUUAAGCAUAUCAAUAAGCGGAGGA